This is a long non-coding RNA of Oreochromis niloticus (Nile tilapia), 1884 nucleotides long. RefSeq lists it as uncharacterized. Lineage: Eukaryota; Metazoa; Chordata; Actinopteri; Cichliformes; Cichlidae. The transcript is spliced from 2 exons. The record is from RefSeq and is a predicted model, not a curated record.
CUUCUGUCCUUUAUAUUGCCCCCGUCUGCUUUUCCAGACUUUUCCAUCCCCCACAUCUCCGUACAGUGCAACGGCAGAUCAGAGGUGCCACGUGUAGAAUGGGCAGCUGUCCCGCUUCAUAUCCAACUGCGCAGUAGUAACCAUUGUUAUUACUGUUGUUGUCAUCGUCGUCAUUGUUGUUCUCUGUCCCACAUGUUGAGGUAAUCUCCCAAAUUUUGCUCUAGUUUGCAAAGGUCAGAAGUGCAGAACAGACACUUUUCUAAUUCUUGUGAAGAAAGUCGGUAAGGCUGAGAUCAUGACUGAUGUUUAAGCGAACAAUGCUGCCUAUGCUAUAUCCAACAAGGCAAACUGUAUAUAGAUAUUGUUAUAUUCCCUCUGUGUGGCACAAAAAGAAGUGUUCUAUGUAUAUCUCUGACUGUAACCCCAGGAAAAUACAGUAAAAUCAAAUGUAUUUAUAUUUGCUAUAGUUAACUUUAUUCACUCUAUCUCUUGUCUUAUUUCUCUUCUCUGGGUUUCCUCUUUUUUUUUCCUUUCUGUAAACGUGUGUGUGAUUGACUACGUGUGCACCUCCUCUCCCAGUUCAGUCCAGUGUUCCAUACUGGGGUUGUGUGCAGGCUGAGGAGGCAGAGCAAAGCAGCGCUGUUACCCAUUCCACCCUCAGCUUCAGCGCGGCUGAGGGGUGGAAGAAGUCCCUGCUACAGAUAAGCCAAACAACCUGUGUGGCCCAGUGCUAGGACCACUGACUGCACGCAGUUUCAUAUAAAUUUGUUAAAGUUUUGUGAGAAAGCAGGCAGUAUGUCUGCUCUUGUGUGGGUGAGGUUUUUUUUUGCAUGCUUGUUUUUUUGAUCUGUCAUGUCAAAACCAGAUAAGGGUCUGUAAUUGCCAUUAAACAGUUGGCAGCUGGUGGCCUAGAAACUGAAACUUGUGCCUAAACUCACAAUUGUUUUGUUUUGCUCACUUGUGCUUGUCUAGGUCCUCUGUGUGUAUUACCUGCCGAAAGAUGGCGCUAAACGACAGGAAGACAAAAGCUGACGUCAUCAUUCGUUGAAGGUCAACAGAGAAGCUGUGGGAAACUGUCACUGCAAAUCAGUCCUGUUAACAGCUAUAUUAAACAUGACAAUCAAAAAGGGUGAUUUUAAAACAUUUUCUCAGGUGAAACAGUACAAUAAGCCACACCUGCUUUUACUGCACUGAAGUUUUUACUGAUUUCAGUGGAGCACAGCUGAAAUUAGCAUAAAAGGCCAAGCGAUUAUGCAAGUGUCCUAAAUUGUGUAAUGAUUUAUCAAAUGUUUCAACUUUGUACAGAGUUUUUGUUUUUAAAUAGAAAGACAAUUAUUUUUGUAGCACAUUUUAAAUAAUAAGAAGCACAGAUCAAAUUUUUUAUACUCUUUGAACAAUGUUCAGUGUUCAGCCUUAAGCAAGGAAAAUACGGAGUUGUCGUCUGAAUGUGAUACACACUUAAUUAAAGUUAUCAUUUUUUCCACUGUAACAUAUUGUCAUAAGUGUUUGUACUGUGAAGAUUAACAGUGUUACAAGGUCCUCUGCUGUAGACCUACUUUACUGUAUGUAGUUCAAAGUGUCUGCGUCUCAAGAGUGUUCCAGCAGACACAGCACCAGGGUCCAGGUUUGCAAAGCUAUUUUAACCCAGUCUUAAUUUUGUUAUUGCACAAGUGUAGCUGAGCAAAGGUGCAUGACUUUAAGGCAAAAAAAAAAAAAAACCUCACCCUUUUGCCAGCCAAACUGAGCUGUAUUUCCAUGUAAACAACUAGUGUCACAUGGUCACCAGCUUUUCAUGUUUCCGUCAGUGACCGCUUCAGCAAAUGACUAAACAUGCAACAUAGGAUUGAGGCUCAUUCUAUACGGAUCACUUAAGCCCUGUCUACA